GAUGAACGCUGGCGGCGUGCCUAAUACAUGCCAGUCGAGCGAACAGACGAGGAGCUUGCUCCUCUGACGUUAGCGGCGGACGGGUGAGUAACACGUGGAUAACCUACCUAUAAGACUGGGAUAACUUCGGGAAACCGGAGCUAAUACCGGAUAAUAUAUUGAACCGCAUGGUUCAAUAGUGAAAGACGGUUUUGCUGUCACUUAUAGAUGGAUCCGCGCCGCAUUAGCUAGUUGGUAAGGUAACGGCUUACCAAGGCAACGAUGCGUAGCCGACCUGAGAGGGUGAUCGGCCACACUGGAACUGAGACACGGUCCAGACUCCUACGGGAGGCAGCAGUAGGGAAUCUUCCGCAAUGGGCGAAAGCUUGCCGGAGCAACGCCGCGUGAGUGAUGAAGGUCUUCGGAUCGUAAAACUCUGUUAUUAGGGAAGAACAAAUGUGUAAGUAACUAUGCACGUCUUGACGGUACCUAAUCAGAAAGCCACGGCUAACUACGUG
Molecule: ribosomal RNA, 497 nt
Filed under: uncultured bacterium
Lineage: Bacteria
Description: partial 16S ribosomal RNA
Rfam family: Bacterial small subunit ribosomal RNA
Source: RNAcentral